RNAcentral lists this long non-coding RNA (1659 nucleotides) under Helianthus annuus (common sunflower). RNAcentral describes it as "hypothetical non coding rna". Lineage: Eukaryota; Viridiplantae; Streptophyta; Magnoliopsida; Asterales; Asteraceae. The record is from RNAcentral.
UUUUCAAACACCUCAAUCUCACUCUCAAACACCCUCAAUCAGCUACAAAUUCGGAGUUUUGGACAGAUUCAACACGAGUUCUUCAAACAAGCAUAACUCCUUCAUUUCUUGUCCGUUUUCAUCGAUUCUUCUUCCUACUUGCUUGGAUUGACCUAAGGAACAUUUCCACAGGUUUUCCAUGGAAGACCAAGCCCUGGAAUGUCCCCGAAAAGGCUCCAAAGUGGGCUGUUCGUUUUUGUUUUCAUCUAAACUAUGUUAAACUUAGUAAACUUGAGUUAAUCUCAUCUCAAACCUAUGUCCUAAUGCUCAUAAUCAAAUGAAUGGUUAGUUGGGCUUAAAAACAAGGUUGAGACACUUAAAAUCAGAGGAUUAAACCUCAUAAACUUUCUGUUUUAGUUAGGGCUCUACCCACAAGAAGUGUUCAAGCUUGAAGCUUGGUAAAAGUGUGAUGGUUAGACUAGCUUGGGCUAUCUUUCAUGAACAUCCACUCACUUCUUGAUGUUUUCUCAUAGAAUAGUUGUUCAUUUCAUUUCUUAUGUAAGUUCAAGACCCUCCUUGAAUGUUUUUACAUCAAGUGUAGUGGUGAACAUUGGAGGUGCCUAAAUGGGAGCUUGUUCUUCCUACCUCAUGUAUGAUUUCUAUGACACUUUGAGGUGCCUAAAUAAAGACUUUAGUCUUCUACCUCAUGCUUGACUUAUAUGAUAUACUAUGCUCUAUAUAAUACUUAUGUAAUAUUCGAACAAAUCGAACUCUUGGUGAUGAGCUAAUGGACAUUCGUCAAGCUAGUAGAUUGUAUCAUCUUAGGCCUUGACAACUUGUCACGAUUCUAAUGGAACCUUGUUCCAUGAAAACAUUUAAACUCUUUUAGAGUUUCACAGUGUCAAGAACAAGUGUCAUAUGUGUUAGAUGAUUAUUUUCAUAUGGUUAUUUUCAUGUUAUUUAAACUCCAAAUCCCUAAAACCAUAUUGAGACACCUCUUGAACUCCAAAUCGAACGCAUUCAACUUUCUAGUCUCGACAACUUCAUCACUUUUGGAUAAUCGAAAAACAUAUGCAAUUUUGUGAGUAUACUCGAUCCCUUUUUCCCUUUUACACUUUGGGAUGCAACAUGUAUUCUAUAUUCAAACACGUGACACUUGAAACUUAUUUGAAACAUGCUCUAUCCAUUUAAACAUGAAACAUGAAACUUGUGAUACUUGAGACUAUUUUGUGCUAUGUGAACGUUUAAUCCUUGUGUGUAGUUCCGCCUUAACAAUAGUAGCGCUAUAGGGGUAAUGCACCUCCCCCAUUUGUAGUCGAGGGGUAUUGUUAGGAGGAGACAUAUUAACCUCCCGUGAAACUUUGGGUUAGGUACUUUAACGCGUUGGAAACUUGGGCUAUCACUUGGACUGCGUAAACUAGCAUGGCUGAAACUAUUUUAUUAUGUUCAUGUUGGAUAUGAGUUUUUAUUCAAUUAUGCUAUGUAAACAAACUUGUAUACUCGCUCUUUGCUUUUGCAUUGAAACUCUAUUUUAAUACAUGUUGCAGGUUGAUUAUUGAAGUAUGGAUGAUUGAUGAAACAAGUUUAGGGUGGCUAGAUACACACCUAAAUUAUCUAUCUUUUGUUGUUAUGUUAUUUGUUGAAACAAUGUUGUUAUUUCCUUUUAAAUUUUUGUUAUGA